RNAcentral lists this ribosomal RNA (440 nucleotides) under uncultured bacterium. Its description in RNAcentral is "partial 16S ribosomal RNA". It matches the Rfam family "Bacterial small subunit ribosomal RNA", at positions 338 to 795 of the family's 1533-position model. The record is from RNAcentral.
CCUACGGGAGGCAGCAGUAGGGAAUAUUGCUCAAUGUGGGAAACCCUGACGCAGCAACGCCGCGUGGAGGAUGAAGGUUUUCGGAUUGUAAACUCCUUUUGUUAGAGAAGAUAAUGACGGUAUCUAACGAAUAAGCACCGUCUAACUCCGUGCCAGCAGCCGCGGUAAAACGGAGGAUGCAAGCGUGACUCUGAAUCACUGGGCGUAAAGAGUGCGUAGGCGGGAUAGCAAGUCAGAUGUGAAAUCCUAUGGCUUAACCAUAGAACUGCAUUUGAAACUGUUAUUCUAGAGUAUGGGAGAGGUAGGUGGAAUUCUUGGUGUAGGGGUAAAAUCCGUAGAGAUAAAGAGGAAUACUCAUUGCGAAGGCGACCUGCUAGAACAUAACUGACGCUGAUGCGCGAAAGCGUGGGGAGCAAACAGGAUUAGAUACCCCGGUAGUC